RNAcentral lists this long non-coding RNA (667 nucleotides) under Marmota monax (woodchuck). Lineage: Eukaryota; Metazoa; Chordata; Mammalia; Rodentia; Sciuridae. The record is from RNAcentral.
UGGGGAGUGAGUGGUGGUGUAAAGCUGUUCGUCUCAAGGUGGCAAAGAGUGAGAGAGUAGGAGCCUGGGUCCUACUAUCCCUUUCAUGGCCAUAUCUCUGGUGACCUAACUUCCUUCCAGUUGAGUCCUCACCAGCUCCCAAUAGUGUCAUCAGCUAGGGACCAAGCCUUUAACACAUGAGCCUUUGGGUGACAUGUUAGAUCCAAACCAUAACACAUGGCAUUUAGAACUUGAAGUUAUAAGCUCAAGUUAAUGAAAAUAUUGCUCAGAUAAGCUAUUUGAGCAAGUACACUUGAAACAAUAAAAAUAGUUUCUGUUAGUAUUAUUUACAUAAAAGAAUGAACUUUUCCUUUAGUCAUUAUUAAAAAUAACUGUAUCUGCAUCUUACCUAUUCCUGGUAUCUAUACUUCAUUGUGAAAAAAUACCUAUUUACCUACAUAUUCUCAAAUAUUUUGCUCACUGGCUACUAUUUUACUAUAUUUAUGGUUUGUACUAAUUUGUUCUAUGUUGAAUCAAAAUUUAGGAGAAAGAUUUCUUAUAGGAACAAGAUAUUUUCUGCAUUAAAAUACAACUCCAUCAGUUUUGAUCCCAAGAUGACUUUUUCAGACUGCCAACAAAGUAAUUCUUAACUAAAUGAAAAAUGUAAUUUUCUGUAACUUGAUUCCCC